UCGAGCUCUGAAAGCUAAUGUUUCUUUAAUUAUUUUUUUCAGCUUCCAAAUGUUUUGGGUUUCAUCUUUGGAGUGCUUCAAAUGAUACUUUACAUGAUAUACAAGAAACCUGGGACAAAGGUUUUGGAACCACCAGUGAUUAACCUCCAGGAAAUAUCUGACCAUGUUGUCGAUGUCGUGAGGCUUAGUUCGAUGGUUUGUUCCUCACAGAUGAGAACUUUGGUGCCACAGGACAGUGCGGACAUGGAAGACACCAUAACCAUUGACGAGAAGAUCAAAGGAGACAUUGAGAAAAUGAAGGAGAGCAAAGAAAUGCUUCUUAUAUCCAAGAAUUAAUAAAGCUCUUAACUAUCAAGUGUGGAGUUGUGUGUUUUAGUUGCUUGUCUGCUAAGUUAAUGUUUAAUUUGCAUGUGUGGCCUCUCUCUCUCUCUCAUCUUGAAUGUAAAAUAAGUUUCUAUUAAAUUAAAUAAAUGAAUAUGUCUUGUGUAUGGGUGUCCUUUGUAACAAAAAUAGAUCGACUUGUCUAUUAUCUUUCUUUCAGUUGUAAAAUCCAAAAUCAAACUAUAUUAAUUUUGUUCAUCUUGUCAUUUAUACUAAAAAGUUUACACUUAGCAACAAGUUAUAAUAAUAUCAUAUUUAGUAUAUAUAUAUAUAUGGUAUUUCUAAUAUUUAGUAAAUAUUUGCACAUUAGCAAAUAUUUAUCAAAGAAGUCUUGUUGUAGUGCAAGUUUGUUCAUUGAAGUUUGGGUUUCAGUUGAUCUGGUUAUAGGUUGUAUUAGUUUUGGUGUUCAUGUUUGUUUCUUGUUUCCUCCUUGUCUCCCAUUUGCUAUCGUCUCCAGGGAUUUCCAUGUUGUCCCCACGGCGUUUGUAACUACUUUCGGUGUUCAAAAUUGAAAAAAAAAGAAAGAAAAAGAAAGCGAGCAACUCCGGGAUUAUAUGCUCUCGGCUAGAGUCAGUCUGAUGCUUUUGGCAUGGCCUUCCGGUUUCAUUAGUUGCAAUUUAUAAUAUCUAUGAUUAAAUUCAAAAGCAAAUGUAAUUCAAUUUGUAAAUGUCAAUUUGAUGAUCCUACUUACAUUGACUGCAAUAACCAAUGUGUGAGUAUUUGUUGGAAAUUUAACUCUAUUACAAUACCCCUACUUCUCUACCAACUCCGGUGUGGUUGGGUCAGAGACAACACUGUGCCACAAAAAAAAAAACCUAACGAGUCAAUGGUAUCCUCCUCCAUGCAGUGACAUCCUUCCGAGCUAGUUCCAGACCUCUAACGUCUCCCACGCAACGCUUGGAUCGUGUUUGACGCCUCCUGCAACCACAAAAAAAAAUUAUUUUAAUUUCCUGAAUCUCAGGAGAAGAUUUAGUAGAGGAAGGUGAUAAGAAGAAAGAAGGAACCUCUAGCUUAUUUCUGAGAUCUUCUUCCUCCUUGUCGCGUCUGUCUCUAUCCUCUGAGAAUAUGUCGAUUAAACUCUCCUGCUCUUUCUUCACGUCUUCUAACUCAUCUUUUGUUCUUUGAACCUGACAAUACCAAAGAGGAAUCAUCCAUUGGUGACUGACUGAUUGUUGCUUAUAGGUUUGCAAGCAGAUACAGUAAACAUGUUAAGAGUAGAAUUUAUACCUCAGCUUCAAGUUUUUUGCGAAGCUCUUUCUCACGUCGCAGCUCUUCUUGCAAUAGCAAGUAAACAGCUUCCUUUUUAUUUAGCCUAGAAUUAAGGAAAACACAAAGCUUACGGUGUUGUUCAAACAAGUGAGAAACAUGAAUCAUAACAUGGUAACGUAAGGUAACAAAACCUCUCUUUUAACGUUUCAUUCUCUUGCUCUAGUUGACUGAGGGUACGUGAAUCAGCAGAACGUGGCUUGGCUGGUGGUUCGAAGCUCUGCGAGAACAAGUACACAAAGGUUCAUAAUCCUAUUCACCGGAUAAAAAUAGGGAAAAAAUCAAAGAAAGAGCAUUGGAGGACCUUCUCAGGAGGCUCAGUGACAUUUUCUUCACCCGGAGGAUCGUGAUCAGAGUCCUCAUCACUGUUGAUAUCUUCUACAGCUGGAGGAGCUACUCGAGCCUUUGCUCGUCCAUUAAAUUUGGAAGAGGUGUUUCCAUGUUUACCACUUUUCUCUGAUGAACCGACCCCAUUAGAAUCUCUAACAGAUCCUUUUCCUUUUCCUCCUCGAUUCACAACUGUCCUUGCAGCAGUUGGAGUUUUAAAGCUCAACGAUGCAGCAGCAGCUCUUUUCCUGGUUGAGACUGCAUACUCUGGUGAUGAUUCUACACAAAUGUCCAAGAGAUUUGUUUAUUAGCACACGUUUUAAAACCCCGAUUGUUUAAAAAAAAAAGAUGUUAGUACCUCUGUCUUCAGAGUCUUUAGCGGACUUUUUGCCAUGUGCUGAAACAUAUCCAAUUCUGUGACAGUUCAACCUCCUGAAUAAAUCAGAAGCGCAAAGAGUUCAGUGAAGCAUCGACAAUUUUCUAAAAAGCAAGAGAAGAAAGCAACAAACCAAUAAUUCUUCUGCAUUACAAGAAGACGUGUCUCGAGUCUAGACAAAACUGUUGUACGCUCAAAACCUUGCUUAUCAUGAGCCGGCUCAACGAAAUCAGCUUCCAAAACACCUUUUAGCACCAAGAAUAAACUAACGCAUUAGACUUCAAAUUAAAAGAGCCAAUCAUGUAUUAUAGACCUUCCUGCAAAAUAACGAUUACCUAUGAUCCCACGACCUUGACUUCCUGCUGCAUUCCAUAUCCUCCAAAAUGGCUGACAAAAACAAAGUGGGACAGUUAAAAAAAACUGACAGAAACAAAGGUAAUAUAGGCCGAAAAGAACGAGAGAAACCUUAAUAAGGCGAUUCUUGUGGUAGACAUUGAAGCCUUGAACAUCAACGUGAUGUUUUGCAUCCUUAACAAAUCCAAUCGUCACAACAGCAGACAUCUGUUAUAAAUAUUGCCACACAACCAUAUUUAGAAACUGCGCAAGUUCUUCAAAUAAAAUUUGCAGGAAGAGGUCUUUUGAGUAUAACUAAGUUGUGAAAAACAUUACAUUUGAGAAAUUAGAUUGUCCACCGGGACCUUCUUUUGGACGAUAAGUGAUUUGGUUUGUGUGCAUCAUGUCAUUCACAAUGUUGUGAUGCUCAACAUCUCUUCCUCGGAGAAUGAUACGGAACUCAGGUGGAACUCUCAGGUAUAGAAUAGAUACAUAACUCUGGAGACAACAAUUCACAAGGUAACAAAUGAAUUUCGUAAAACAAAAAAAAAACAAUUUCAACUGCCACUGUUAAGGAAAGACGGAUAGAAGAUUCAUACUCUGAGUGAAUGCCUGUAUGUGAGGAAGUGUCUAGAGUUAGGGUACUGAGCAGCCAUACUGAUACUUUUCUCAUCCCUAUUGACCCCUCUAAGUUGGAUAUCCUGCAACAAAACGUGUGUCAUUACUUGCGCUAAUUAACUUUUAUAGUUUUAUGUGAUCUAUCAAUCGGCAUUCAGAAUUAACAAUUAAGGGGGUGAUUGGUAGUUGCCGUAGGUGUUGUCCACAGUCUUAUUUAUUUCUAAAACACCAAAUUCAGAGCAAUCAAACUUUAAUUUUUUUUUUGAAACCACAGCUCUUGAAAUAACCUACAGCUGUACAAGUAUUCUGCAGAACCAAAUAUCCAAAGCAAUUUUUUAGUGCUUUCCAUAAAAUUCUACAGCAAUAAAAUCUAAAAUCACAGCAAAAAGUUUACAGAUUUUUUUCUACAGCAAAAAUUUUAAAGCUACAGCCAUUACCAAUCGGACCCUAACUUACUUAUCCUUUGAUUAUUUGUUACCUAGUCAGUAAUUCAAGUUGGGUGUGUUUAACUAAAAACGUAUUGUACUAUUCAUUUGACAAAUGUAUUGCAAUCUCUUAAGAGAAAAUUGACAUUUAUAUUUUUCAUACAUAUUAAGAAAUUUAUAGAUUAUUUGCAAGCACCAGAUAAGUUUAAUUUCUUGUUUAAUACAGACAAAACAGAAAAUAUUGUUUGUACUGGGAAAAUAUAAAACGAUAGUUAUAUCCUAAACGACUCUUACUACAAAGCAAAAAAAAAUUAUUAUAAAUUUUAAGAUCAAAAGGUAUAUCAGUAUAUGGCUACCAUGCCAAAAUGUUGGUAUCUUUUUAGAUAACGACGGUAGUCACUGUCCAAACGAACUCUGUAUUGCUCAUGCACUGGUUGAGCAUGUACAUCAAGCAAAUUAAAGAAAACGAAAUCAUAUAAUGAGUCGAAACUUCAAUAGCAUGAAUGUAAUAAUAUUCCACAACUAUUAACUUUUCAUGAAAACAAAGACAGUCCGAUCGAGUAGAUUUUAUUCCAAGAGUAUCUUAAACACAGUGGAUAAAAAUUCAGAAGAACUAGAAAAAUUUACUAAUACAUAUCUCAUAUUGUCUAACGAAAAAUAUAUAUUUAAGAAGUCUCGUUUUCUAAACUUGUACAUGGUUCAAUUUCGGUAGACUGGUCCAAAUGCACAAAAAAAAAUUUUAUAAGAAUAUGGACGAAAACAAUGAUACAAUGAUAUCAUCAAACGUGCAUUAAAAUGUUUAGCAUGUUCAUAUAGAAAACGUUAUUAUUUACGAUGAGAUUGGUAGCGUUACUGUCACAAAAAUAGGCAUACAUUUUUGUUCUCAUUUCAAUGACAAAUCAGGCCAGAUAGAAAACUGCUCCAUUGUAUAUCGAUAUCUUUGUUAGUUUGGUAAUAAUGAACGUGAUUUUUUAUAUAGAAAAAAUAAACUAAAAUGCAAAAUGAUACUCUAUAUCAAUUUAUACUGCACUCAAGAAAAUGUUUUGUACAUCACAACAAAUGCCAAACCAAAUUACUCUACAAAUUUUGGAUCCACCUAUAGACUACGGAUUAUUACUCUCAUUUUUAUACAGAAUGGGAUUAGUGAUUAUUGCAGUUGCAUCGUUUGGAUUCACUUAUAUUUAUUUUAGCGAGAUUACAUACUAUAAUUAAAAUACUGAGGGAGAAAGGUUUCCCUAUUUUCCUUGUUGUUAAUAUGUUGGGGUAAAGAUUUCAAAAGGGGGUUUCCUGAUUUCCUAAAUGAGUAAUUGCAAUUCGGAAAACGAACUAUAUGCAUGACAAUUCGGUUUAGGUAAAAGACCAACUUAUUCUCUCAUUGCACUUGUAAACCCCUAAACUAGAGAGUUGUAGACAGUAGUAAUCCUCAACACCUACUUGGUUGGUGACACGUCAGAAAGAACGACAAUUUGGUGCAAUAGAAUGUACCGGAAUGGUACUUUUACAAGAUAUAAGAUUUUAGUGCUCAUAAGUUGCUGAGCUGGAUAGAUACCCACCCAUUUUAGGUUUUAGGGUUUGAUAAUUAUAUUUGCCACAAGAUUUAUGAGAUAUCAUAAGACUAGGUUAACUUCGCAUGCCGACAUCAAUGUGCGCACAACAUCAUUCGUUAGGUCUUGUUUCAUUAGACGAAUAAACAUAUGUGGAUAUUUUUUUGAAAGGGAGAGGGAUUAUAUUCCUCACAUGAUUUUUCGUGGUUUUUCAAGCGGCUUACUGCUUUAUAUUGGCCACCCUCAAAAACUGAUCAGACCCAAUUCAUACACAAUCAUUUAUUUGUUUGUCAAAAAAAAUUUCACGCAAUUACUCUUAAUAGAAAAGUAAAGUAUAUGAUUUACAUUAUGAUAUAUAUACUGACCAAUAUAUUAUUUUGAGAAGACGGAUAUAUAUUCUAUUAAACUUAGUCAUGUUCACAUCUGCAGAACUAAAAGGUCGCAGAGAGGAUUUAACCGCUCACACAAAACGCAGAAACUACGUAGGCAUAUUUAUAAGUAGAUGAAUCAUAAAAAUCAAUAGACGAAGGGUAAGAUUAAGCUUAAUUAGAUUAAAAAAAGGGGAACCUUCGGGGCAUGCAGUAAACAACUGUAAAGUAGAGAUAAUGCUCUCUGAUUCCUUUUGCCCACUAUCUACAUCCCAUUGAGUUCAAACUCUUUCGUUCUCCUCUCUCACUCACAGACGCAUUUUGCAAGUUGAUACACUUUUCUCCUCCCUAUAUAAAUCACUACCCUUCUCAAUCAACAAUUGCAUCUUACAUUAACAGAUUCUCAUAGUGUUUACUCGUUCCUUGCUUGCCUUCGGUUUCAUAGAGAAAGAGAGGGGGAGAGUUUAUAAUAGAUUAUUAUUAAUAUUUUCUUCACAGUAGCAUUUCACUACUUUGAGAGAGAUUAAAAAGAUAAAAUGGCGGUUUCAAUAGUCGUCUUGCGUACGGUCUUUGGCAUUCUAGGUAAAUCUUCUCACGUUUACGUAAACGUUCAUGUCUUCAUGAUGCAUGCAUGUACGUGAGUUAUCGUGAAUUCUAACAUAAGGAUAAUUAUUUUGUAGGGAAUAUCAUCUCCUUUCUCGUCUGUCUUGCCCCAAUGUAAAUGCUUUAUGACUCUCUUUACGUUCCUCUUAUAUAGAUAACGGUUUCCAUCAGACAUUAAAUAUACGUGUUGUUUAUGUAUUAGACCGACGUUCAUUCGUAUUUACAAGAGAAAAUCAUCUGAAGGGUAUCAGUCUAUCCCAUACGUGAUAGCGCUGUUCAGUGCGAUGCUAUGGAUAUACUACGCAAUGAUAAAGACGAAUGUAGUGAUUAUGAUCACUAUCAACGCCGUUUCCCUUGUCAUACAAAUCUUCUACAUCUCCUUCUACCUAUUCUACGCGCCUAAGAAGGAGAAGGUACUUGUUCAAUAUUAACAUAACUUCUUAUCUUGAAUGUACACACAAGAAUGACUACAUCUUUUGACCGUUGUGUUUCGAUAUGGCAGACUCUAACGGUGAAAUUCGUCUUAUUUGUGGAUGUUUUUGCGUUCGGCUUUAUUUUCUUCCUUACAUACUUUCUGCUUCAUGGACAAAAACGUGUUCAAAUACUUGGAUACAUUUGUAUGGUCUUCUCUCUAUGUGUUUUUGUCGCACCCCUUGGCAUCAUUGUAAGUCUCUCUUUCUUAUUUACUCAUUCAUUCAUUCAUUCAUUCAUUAAAACUGUUUUUAAUCGGUCAAGUUAAUCUUGAAAACACAGAGGAAAGUGAUUAAAACGAGAAGUGCAGAGUUCAUGCCGUUUGGUCUCUCCUUCUUCCUCACCUUAUCGGCUGUCAUGUGGUUCUUUUACGGUCUUCUCCUUAAAGACAUGAAUAUAGCGGUACGUCUAAGUAGUCUUCAUAUUUGCUUUUUUUAUUUUUUUCUAUGCUCGAGCUCUGAAAGCUAAUGUUUCUUUAAUUAUUUUUUUCAGCUUCCAAAUGUUUUGGGUUUCAUCUUUGGAGUGCUUCAAAUGAUACUUUACAUGAUAUACAAGAAACCUGGGACAAAGGUUUUGGAACCACCAGUGAUUAACCUCCAGGAAAUAUCUGACCAUGUUGUCGAUGUCGUGAGGCUUAGUUCGAUGGUUUGUUCCUCACAGAUGAGAACUUUGGUGCCACAGGACAGUGCGGACAUGGAAGACACCAUAACCAUUGACGAGAAGAUCAAAGGAGACA
Molecule: long non-coding RNA, 7448 nt
Filed under: Brassica napus (rape)
Lineage: Eukaryota; Viridiplantae; Streptophyta; Magnoliopsida; Brassicales; Brassicaceae
Description: long non-coding RNA (BNAP_LNC012920)
Source: RNAcentral